Molecule: ribosomal RNA, 429 nt
Filed under: Chloroflexota bacterium
Lineage: Bacteria; Bacillati; Chloroflexota
Description: Chloroflexi bacterium partial 16S ribosomal RNA
Rfam family: Bacterial small subunit ribosomal RNA
Source: RNAcentral
UGGGGAAUAUUGCACAAUGGGCGCAAGCCUGAUGCAGCCAUGCCGCGUGUAUGAAGAAGGCCUUCGGGUUGUAAAGUACUUUCAGCGGGGAGGAAGGGAGUAAAGUUAAUACCUUUGCUCAUUGACGUUACCCGCAGAAGAAGCACCGGCUAACUCCGUGCCAGCAGCCGCGGUAAUACGGAGGGUGCAAGCGUUAAUCGGAAUUACUGGGCGUAAAGCGCACGCAGGCGGUUUGUUAAGUCAGAUGUGAAAUCCCCGGGCUCAACCUGGGAACUGCAUCUGAUACUGGCAAGCUUGAGUCUUGUAGAGGGGGGUAGAAUUCCAUGUGUAGCGGUGAAAUGCGUAGAGAUGUGGAGGAAUACCGGUGGCGAAGGCGGACCCCUGGACAAAGACUGACGCUCAGGUGCGAAAGCGUGGGGAGCAAACAGG